GACGAACGCUGGCGGCGUGCCUAACACAUGCAAGUCGAGCGAAGUAUAUCUGAGGGAAAUUUUCGGAUGGAACUUAGAUAUAUCUUAGCGGCGGACGGGUGAGUAACGCGUGGGUAAUCUACCUCGUAGUUCGGGAUAACAGGCCGAAAGGCUUGCUAAUACCGGAUGAGUUCAUGCUUAUGCAUAUAGGCAUGAAGAAAGGGCUAGCCCGCUAUGAGAUGAGCCCGCGUCCCAUUAGCUUGUUGGUGGGGUAAUGGCCUACCAAGGCAACGAUGGGUAGCCGGCCUGAGAGGGUGUACGGCCACACUGGGACUGAGACACGGCCCAGACUCCGUACGGGGGGCAGCAGUAGGGAAUUUUCGGCAAUGGGCGAAAGCCUGACCGAGCGACGCCGCGUGAGGGACGAAGGCCUUCGGGUUGUAAACCUCUGUCUGGGGGGAUGAGAACGGACGGUACCCCCGGAGGAAGCCCCGGCUAACUACGUG
RNAcentral lists this ribosomal RNA (485 nucleotides) under uncultured bacterium. RNAcentral's name for it is "bacterial SSU rRNA". It matches the Rfam family "Bacterial small subunit ribosomal RNA", at positions 28 to 507 of the family's 1533-position model. The record is from RNAcentral.